GGACCACUGGAUAUGCUUCCUCAUUUAUCCUAAGGUUGGAAAGGUGCUGGUGCUCGACUCCUUGAACUUCGACCCUUCGACAUAUGCAACAUUCCUCAGCAUCUUAGAGCUUGCUUAUAGAUUCUAUAAGAUGAAAGGUGGAAAGUACGACCUGUCGAAAAAACUCGUGCCACUAGACAUCCAUCAUCACUGGCCGUGCCACAAGCAACCACAAGGAUCGGUCCUAUGUGGAUUCUAUGCGUGCGAGUUCAUGAGAGUGAACGGACGAUACAUCACGAACCCUGACAAGCAAUUUCAACGAGGAAACCCGGAG
This 313-nucleotide unclassified non-coding RNA is filed under the name Zea mays. Its description in RNAcentral is "misc RNA Zm00001eb277890". Lineage: Eukaryota; Viridiplantae; Streptophyta; Magnoliopsida; Poales; Poaceae. The record is from RNAcentral.